This is a long non-coding RNA of Homo sapiens (human), 2341 nucleotides long. Ensembl annotates it as CKMT2 antisense RNA 1. Its record names the gene CKMT2-AS1. The record is from Ensembl. NCBI's taxonomy places the organism in Eukaryota, Metazoa, Chordata, Mammalia, Primates, Hominidae.
GGGGUUACAGGAUAUAGGUUACAGGAUAGCCCAGGAAAUCAGAUUAUUAGUUCUUCUUCCGUGCUAAUAUCUGCAAACAAUUCUUUCAAUUCUAAAGCCAGUAAGUUACUAAGAGCAGACAAGAUAUAAAUUGGUCAUUUCUUGAAGUUGUCCUGGGGACUUGUAAAGACCAACAUUCAUUCUCAUCAUGGAAACUUCUUUGCUCCCCUGCUAGAUUUCAGGUCAUCAUGUCAGUAUCCCUCCAAGAAUAGAUAACGGCUCUUCAGUGAGCUGCACCAGUGCUUCCUGGUCCUUGCUUGCAGCAGGCAACGCUAGCAUACAUCCUUUGGGCCAUCUUAUUUGCCAUCACACCCUCAAACCCACUUUCUAACUAGAGAGAGGCAAUGCUGUCACUCUAGAGGUUUACUGUAGAACUCACUAAAGUGAAAGAAGCUUUGCCCAGAUUCUUUCCAGGCAGUAUGGGCCUAAACAUAAGCCAGACAUGGUCUUCCUAAGCUAACAGGAAGUAUGUUCCUUUCUGGGAUUGACCAGGGAUGACCCAAAUGUCCUGGUCCCUAUUUUUCAUUCCUUAAAUUGCCUAUGCACUGAUAUGUGCCCAAGUCAGUGUCUGAGAUGAUAAAUCUUAGGAAGCAGAGCCAAGAGGAAGGGGAGUGAAUGGUCUCCAUGUAUAGUCCUGUGACCACUGGAGGUCUUCCUCCCUGUAAGGGUGAUGUGUGAGUGGGUAUCUGGCUCAGAAUAUUAAUGUUUGAAGUGUCAUAUCCAUAUUUUAGUUCCUGGAAGGAACUAAUUUAAUUAAUUUAUAAUUAUUAUUUUAUUCCAAGUUCCAAUACUGCCCUUGUGUCUGAGCAACAAAGGAUGACUCAUGCAGAUAAUCCUGGGGAAGCUUUGAUUGUGGCUAGCAAAGCAAUCUUGGAACUGAAAUUCCUCAGUAUCCUUGCUUUGAUUCCUUGAAGAGAAUUGACACAGACUCCAGGUUUUGGUGAAGCAAAGAAUUCCUGCUUCCUUGACUCUGUUUUUGUCUCGCCAGAACACAAAGAGGCAUUGAAUUUCACUAUUAAGGCCUUAAUUAGUAACCUUGUUUGUGAAAUUGAAACAAAGGUCUCACUGAACAGGCUGGUGCUCUGGCAAUGGCUGUUCCAUGCUCUCCAAAGACCCAGAAUCAAGGCUUGCAAUGAAAUCACUUUUCCUCAUGACUAAACUAAAUCUCUCUUGCAUGUUAAAAGUUAGUCUUUAAAACGCUGCGCAGUCAGAACAUUGCUUUGUCUUACACAUUUCCCUGUUACCUGGCAGGCCCCAAAUGUUACAUAAGCAUUCUCUGCAGCUGUAACCCCUACUCAGAAGAGGCUUGAUUUGUUAUUUGCACACAUGAUAACAUGUGGCAUAAGUAAAGCUGGGAAGAUGUUUGUUUGUAAGGGGUAAUCUGUGUCUAUCAAAGCAGAUAGUAUUGGUUUUGCCUAGUUUCCAAACAUGGUUUUAUAAGUCAGUAUAUCUUGUGAAACCAUUAGGACAAAAGUUUGGAACAAAAAGAAAUCUCAGGCUCAUUGCAAAGCUUUUUUAACGUUUUCAGUUCCCUCCAUGUUCUGAGCAUUAUCAUAACGUACUGAACUGUUCUGUUCAGAGACCACUAGGGAGAGGAGAUGAGGAACCAGAGCAGCCAGGAUGUUUCUCCCUGGGAUAAAAUCUCAAGCAUUCAGACACCCUCACUGUGGGCUCCACUUCUGUAGCUAGAGGGGACUGGAAACAGCAGGAGCAUCUCACAGCUUGUAGGAAGCACACAUCUUUUUCCCAAAUGUUUCUUUUUGCAGUUGGUCCUUGCUGGCUGAUCCAGCUUCCCCGUCAGCAUAUGGUGAGCAGUUCGGUGAGAGGACCACACUUCCAAUACUGGCAGAUGAAGCCAGAUACUCCUCUAUGAAGUUAAAUGACUGGUUCAGUGUUAACACUGCUAGUGAGCGACAGAGAUGGAAUUUGAACGCACACCUGUCUGACUCCACCUCGUGUUCCUUCCACAUGGCCAGCAAGCUCUGCUGUCCCACCUCGCACUUCUGGGAGGUGGCUACUCCCUCUUUCCACCCCCUUUUCUGGAUCUUGACAAGGGAUUCUACCCUGCCCCAGCUGUCAAAGCCUGCAGCAGCUGCCAAAAAACCUCAACACAGGCAUACUUUGGACCUACAUCAUGUGUUGAUGUCACAGAUGCUGUACCAGGCAUUUGACUCCUUGAUCUAAAGCCAGGAUUCCUAGCCAACAUGGCGAAACCCUGUCUCUACUAAAAAUAACAAAAAUUAGCUGGGCAUGGUGAUAGGCACCUGUAAUCCCAGCUACUUGGGAGGCUGAGGCAGGAGAA